GUCUAUUUUACGUUGCCUAUUCCAGCAUCUGCCGUUGACUCUGAGUUGGAGCAUUUACCAUUGCAAAACUGUCACCAGCAUCUUCGAAACACGCAUUUACAUUCCACAGGUCUAGUAAAUGGGCUCUGUGGCUGCGUGAUGCCUUUUGUUUAAAAGAAAUCCAAGUGGCAGCCCGGCACUUUCCAUCCAGCUGCACUUUAUACUGUAACUGUGGCAGCUGAAAAGUAAAGCUCAAAAGAUUUUUCAGAAUCUGCUGCCCCAGCAGGUAACAUUCUGGGGUCGGUUCUUUUUAUUGUUGUUUUUUCUGCUGUUUAAAAUGUCCAAACCUUCUCGCUUGGCUAGACCUUUCUUCGCUAACGCGGCUUCUAAGCUGUCAUCAUCUAGAAGGGACGAUUUGAACAGCAAACAGAAAAAAAACAGUUUAGGUGAGAAGAUUUUGAAAACUGGGAGUGAAGGAAAUUUGGUCAAACAGCAGCAGGUGCCAACAGCAGCCAGUCCGGCUCAGCAGAAGGCUGCACCACACAAAGGGUUCAAAUUCAUUCUGGACACUACUGCCGACUGCAAUGAUGUCAAACCCUUGCGCGAUGAGGUAGCAUGGAAGGUAAUCGUGGCUAUGGACAGGCAGUGUCUCUAAUGCUUUUGCCUGUAAGAAGCUGAUCAUACCAGUAAGCAGUCAUUACUCACUGCAGGGCCUGAACGUUGCCCGGUAUUUUCCAGAAGCAGCAGCGAGUUUGUACUGAUCAUGUAUGCUCCUUUAUCUGACUGCCUUGUGACCAAUAUCACUCAUUUCUGAUGAGAGCUAAGGUCAAGGGCACAGUAUUUCUUCAGCAGAGCAAUGGUAACUUAUGCUCACAGUUACUAAAUUUACGCUUUUGGCUCAUUAUUGAUACUCGUUAGUCUGGAGUUAUGCAUUACACAUCUGUGUAGGCCGGAAAGUCUCUCCAUCCCAUUACUAAAACUCACGUGGCUUACCUUGGACGGUUGUUUUAGAAACAAAAACUAAACAUACUGAACGCUGCUUACCAGCAUUUAAUGGCAAUUUUUCUCCAACUAGCUACAGUGUGAAUUAUGACUGUGUGAGUAUUGAAAAUUAACAAUUUCUUCUAGAGUUCUCCUGAUUUUCCCUUACUAACUUUAUCGUUAUUUGUCUUCUUCUAUCUAGUAAUAGAUGAGAAGUAAGAAAUAAAAGUACCACGUGUUCCCAUAUUCUAUUUGCUUACUUGAUUCUGUUAAAAUUCAAUACAUCGGAAAAGGACUAUAAGACCACCUCUCAAAAUUAAUCUAGUGUUUUCUUUGAACUAACCCGUGCGUUUUCAGUUACUUAGACACAGACCUCUUAGCCUAGUGAGGUCAAUAACUCACAAGUCUGAUAAAAAAUUAAACGCACCGACAUUGGAGAAGCGUGGGACACUGAGGAAAAAGAGAAUUAACAGUCUCAGAAUUUUAGAGUGCGAUAAAAACUUAAAGGUCAUCCAAUUUAUCUCUCUCUUUUGAUACAUAUAGAAAAAGUCUAGUUCCUUCUUUUGAUCAAGACUAAAGGUGCACUGGCUUGCGCCAAGGUCUUCUGACUCAGUGGUUUUUUCCUCUCUUAUAUCCUCUGCAGAAAAGGCAAAAACUGCCAGAACACCUUCAGGCUUCCUUCAAAUGUUCACUUCCUUUAGCUGGACUCCUGUUAAGCUCUGGUACAUAACAUCUCUUGGACUAUGCUUCCUACACUCUUGGUUCUCUGUUGUUACUCGCUUGCUCCAAGUUCAAGAUAACUCGGCAGGGAAUUGUGCUGAUCUUUACUGCAUUUUAUCCUUGUAAAUAAUCAGAGAUCAUUUAAUGCUGAAAAGUUGUGAGCAGCAUUUCUUAUUACAUUUAUAACACACAGGUUUGCCUUUGGUUGCUUAACUCUGAUGAACCUGAUAAAGGAAUAUAUUUCUUAGCUUGAUAAAGUUAGAAAAUCAUAAAACGAUUUGCUGUUUCUCCUUUAACGAGAGUUGAAACCUAAAGUAACAAACUUUAUUUUUACAAAUAUUUUUCUAAAAUCUGUAUUUUUCAGUACCUUCCAAAAUUUAGAUCUGUGCCCCAGUGAAAUUUUUCCUCUGUCAAGAACUCGAGAUUGUAUACAACCACAAAUGAGAAAUUUUGCCAACCUCAGUAGAAUACUUACUACCUGGACUGCUUCUUCACUUUCAUGCCCUGUAGUCAGAUUUUCACUUUGUUGGAUAUGUUCCUUUCAGCUUUAAUUUUUAAGUCCACUGAGCCACCUUAUUUUCAAAAUGUGUAUAUUCUUUUGGAUUCAUUUAAGAAAUCAGAAUUUGGCCUUUUGAAAAAUAAUCAGAAUUAGUAUAGAUGAAAGAGUGUGUGGUUACCUUGUCCUUUGGGGAUG
Long non-coding RNA from Equus asinus (donkey), 2374 nucleotides. NCBI's taxonomy places the organism in Eukaryota, Metazoa, Chordata, Mammalia, Perissodactyla, Equidae. The record is from Ensembl.